CCCCUAGAUGUUCUGGGCCGCACGCGCGCUACACUGAACAGUUCAACAAGUCUUAACCUUGGCCGAUAGGUCUGGGUAAUCUUUGAACGCUGUUCGUGAUUGGGAUAGACCUUUGCAAUUAUGGGUCUUCAACGAGGAAUUCCUAGUAAACGCAAGUCAUCAGCUUGCAUUGAUUACGUCCCUGCCCUUUGUACACACCGCCCGUCGCUCCUACCGAUUUCGAGUGGUUCGGUGAACCUUUCGGACCGGCAAUGCCUCGUGUUGCGCCGGAAAGUCAAGUAAACCAUAUCACUUAGAGGAAGGAGAANUCGUAACA
Molecule: ribosomal RNA, 316 nt
Filed under: uncultured eukaryote
Lineage: Eukaryota
Description: partial 18S ribosomal RNA
Rfam family: Eukaryotic small subunit ribosomal RNA
Source: RNAcentral